AAAUUUGAAAUCUGGUAGCCUUCGGCUGCCCGAGUUGUAAUCUAGAGAAGUGUUUUCCGUGCCGGCCCAUGUACAAGUCCCUUGGAACAGGGCGUCAUAGAGGGUGAGAAUCCCGUCCUUGACAUGGACCCCCGGUGCUUUGUGAUACACUUUCAACGAGUCGAGUUGUUUGGGAAUGCAGCUCAAAAUGGGUGGUGAAUUCCAUCUAAAGCUAAAUAUUGGCGAGAGACCGAUAGCGAACAAGUACCGUGAGGGAAAGAUGAAAAGCACUUUGGAAAGAGAGUUAAACAGUACGUGAAAUUGUUGAAAGGGAAACGAUUGAAGUCAGUCAUGCUCUUUGGAUUCAGCCGUUCUGCGGUGUAUUUCCAUUGAGUGGGGUCAACAUCAGUUUUGACCGCUGGAUAAAGGCACUAGGAAGGUAGCACUCUCGGGUGAACUUAUAGCCUAGCGUCAUAUACAGUGGUUGGGACUGAGGAACGCAGCAUGCCUUUAUGGCCGGGAUUCGUCCACGUACAUGCUUAGGAUGUUGACAUAAUGGCUUUAAACGACCCGUCUUG
Molecule: ribosomal RNA, 557 nt
Filed under: Naganishia uzbekistanensis
Lineage: Eukaryota; Fungi; Basidiomycota; Tremellomycetes; Filobasidiales; Filobasidiaceae
Description: LSU rRNA
Rfam family: Eukaryotic large subunit ribosomal RNA
Source: RNAcentral